GAACGCUUGCUGCAUGCUUUAUACAUGCAAGUCGAACGGAGGCCCUAGCUUGCUAGGUGUCCUUAGUGGCGCACGGGUGAGUAACACGUGGGAACAUACCUUAUAGUACGGAAUAACUGCGGGAAACUGUAGCUAAUACCGUAUACUCCAGAAAUGGGAAAGAUUUAUCGCUAUAAGAUUGGCCCGCGCAAGAUUAGUUUGUUGGUGAGGUAAAAGCUCACCAAGGCUUCGAUCUUUAGCUGGUUUGAGAGGACGAUCAGCCACACUGGGACUGAGACACGGCCCAGACUCCUACGGGAGGCAGCAGUAGGGAAUAUUGGACAAUGGGGGCAACCCUGAUCCAGCAAUGCAGCGUGAGUGACGAAGGCCUUAGGGUUGUAAAACUCUUUCAUCGGUGAGGAUAAUGACAGUAGCCGAAGAAGAAGGACCGGCUAAUUCCG
This 440-nucleotide ribosomal RNA is filed under the name uncultured Alphaproteobacteria bacterium. RNAcentral's name for it is "bacterial SSU rRNA". It matches the Rfam family "Bacterial small subunit ribosomal RNA", at positions 31 to 505 of the family's 1533-position model. Lineage: Bacteria; Pseudomonadati; Pseudomonadota; Alphaproteobacteria. The record is from RNAcentral.